This 628-nucleotide long non-coding RNA is filed under the name Gadus morhua (Atlantic cod). RNAcentral's name for it is "lncRNA (ENSGMOG00000029378.1)". Lineage: Eukaryota; Metazoa; Chordata; Actinopteri; Gadiformes; Gadidae. The record is from RNAcentral.
AUGACCAAACAAAGCGCAACCAGGCCUGGCGAGGCAUUUCAGCUAUGCUGGGCGUUACCGGUGGUGGCUCAAAGUGAAGAGGAGAUAUCUCCUCCCUCUUCCAGCCUCUCACAGUCCGCUGCGGACACCUCUCCUCCAUCUCCUCCCACUACCUCUACGGUGGCUCUGGUCACACCGCUGCGUCCUGCACCUCCACCACCACGGAGGAGACAGCUGGAGCAGCCGCUGUCUGCGUUCCAGAAAUCAAUCAUGUCCUCCAUCCAAAAGGAAAAGGAGAAUGCACUGGCUGUUGACGAGGAUGAGCAUUUUAUGCUCAGCCUCGUCCCAUCGUUGAGGAGGCUGUCACACCAAAAAAAGGCCCAGGUGCGCAUGAGGAUGCAGCAGGUCCUGUACGAUGUGGAGUUUGGAGAGUAAUGAAUUUGUAACCAAUUUCUAUUUAGAUUUAGUUUCAGCUUUAAGAUUUUUUAAAUGUGUACAUAUCUUGGAAUCAUUUUCUAUUUAUAUUUAGUAUAAGCUAUAAGAAAUAUUUAAAUGUGUACAUAAUAUCUUGGAAUCAAUUUCUAUUUAGAUUUAGUACAAGCUAUAAGAAAUGUUUCAAAUGUGUACAUAAUAUCUUGGAAUCAUUUUC